RNAcentral lists this transfer RNA (65 nucleotides) under Marmota marmota marmota (Alpine marmot). It matches the Rfam family "tRNA", at positions 5 to 66 of the family's 71-position model. From Rfam's summary of the family: Transfer RNA (tRNA) molecules are approximately 80 nucleotides in length. Their secondary structure includes four short double-helical elements and three loops (D, anti-codon, and T loops). The record is from Rfam by way of RNAcentral. RNAcentral also lists the same sequence under 2 other names. Lineage: Eukaryota; Metazoa; Chordata; Mammalia; Rodentia; Sciuridae.
AUGUAGCUCAGUGGUAGAGUGUAUGCUUAGUAUGCACAAGGUCCUGGGUUCGAUCCCCACAGCAU